This is a small nucleolar RNA of Labrus bergylta (ballan wrasse), 141 nucleotides long. Ensembl annotates it as small nucleolar RNA SNORA29. Lineage: Eukaryota; Metazoa; Chordata; Actinopteri; Labriformes; Labridae. The record is from Ensembl.
UGUCCUGUUUUAGUACCAUGCAUCUGCCCUUUAACGGAUGUGUGGCUAUGCUAACGGGAUAGAGAAAUUGUCCUUCAGUGUCUGAAGGGGUCGAGCAGUACCAUUUCUGCCUCCCCUAAUGAAAUGAUGGCACAGUGAAUA